RNAcentral lists this ribosomal RNA (582 nucleotides) under uncultured Variovorax sp. RNAcentral's name for it is "bacterial SSU rRNA". It matches the Rfam family "Bacterial small subunit ribosomal RNA", at positions 102 to 680 of the family's 1533-position model. The record is from RNAcentral. Lineage: Bacteria; Pseudomonadati; Pseudomonadota; Betaproteobacteria; Burkholderiales; Comamonadaceae.
ACGGGUGAGUAAUACAUCGGAACGUGCCCAAUCGUGGGGGAUAACGCAGCGAAAGCUGUGCUAAUACCGCAUACGAUCUACGGAUGAAAGCAGGGGAUCGCAAGACCUUGCGCGAAUGGAGCGGCCGAUGGCAGAUUAGGUAGUUGGUGAGGUAAAGGCUCACCAAGCCUUCGAUCUGUAGCUGGUCUGAGAGGACGACCAGCCACACUGGGACUGCGACACGGCCCAGACUCCUACGGGAGGCAGCAGUGGGGAAUUUUGGACAAUGGGCGAAAGCCUGAUCCAGCCAUGCCGCGUGCAGGAUGAAGGCCUUCGGGUUGUAAACUGCUUUUGUACGGAACGAAACGGUCUUUUCUAAUAAAGAAGGCUAAUGACGGUACCGUAAGAAUAAGCACCGGCUAACUACGUGCCAGCAGCCGCGGUAAUACGUAGGGUGCAAGCGUUAAUCGGAAUUACUGGGCGUAAAGCGUGCGCAGGCGGUGAUGUAAGACAGUUGUGAAAUCCCCGGGCUCAACCUGGGAACUGCAUCUGUGACUGCAUCGCUGGAGUACGGCAGAGGGGGAUGGAAUUCCGCGUGUAGCA